AAGGGUUUAGCUUAAUUAAAGUGAUUGAUUUGUGUUCAGUUGAUGCAGAGUGAAGUUUUGCAAUCCUUG
Non-coding RNA from Papio anubis (olive baboon), 69 nucleotides. NCBI's taxonomy places the organism in Eukaryota, Metazoa, Chordata, Mammalia, Primates, Cercopithecidae. The record is from Rfam.